This 487-nucleotide ribosomal RNA is filed under the name uncultured Turicibacter sp. RNAcentral's name for it is "bacterial SSU rRNA". It matches the Rfam family "Bacterial small subunit ribosomal RNA", at positions 8 to 507 of the family's 1533-position model. Lineage: Bacteria; Bacillati; Bacillota; Erysipelotrichia; Erysipelotrichales; Turicibacteraceae. The record is from RNAcentral.
AGAGUUUGAUCCUGGCUCAGGAUGAACGCUGGCGGCGUGCCUAAUACAUGCAAGUCGAGCGAACCACUUCGGUGGGAAGCGGCGAACGGGUGAGUAACACGUAGGUGAUCUGCCCAUCAGACGGGGACAACGAUUGGAAACGAUCGCUAAUACCGGAUAGGACGAAAGUUUAAAGAUGCUCCUGGCAUCACUGAUGGAUGAGCCUGCGGCGCAUUAGCUAGUUGGUGGGGUAAAGGCCUACCAAGGCGACGAUGCGUAGCCGACCUGAGAGGGUGAACGGCCACACUGGGACUGAGACACGGCCCAGACUCCUACGGGAGGCAGCAGUAGGGAAUCUUCGGCAAUGGGCGAAAGCCUGACCGAGCAACGCCGCGUGAAUGAAGAAGGCCUUCGGGUUGUAAAAUUCUGUUAUAAGGGAAGAAAGGUGAUAGGAGGAAAUGACUACCAAUUGACGGUACCUUAUGAGAAAGCCACGGCUAACUACGUG